GACGAACGCUGGCGGCGUGCUUAACACAUGCAAGUCACGGGGGUCUCGCAAGAGAGAACCGGCGAACGGGUGCGUAACACGUGAACAACCUGCCGUUGUGAGGGGGAUAGCCGGGCUAACGCCCGGGUAAUACCGCAUACGCUGCCCGAGGGGAGUCCCUUGGGGAGGAAAGCCAUGGCGCAAGCGAUGGCGCACGACGAGGGGUUCGCGGCCUAUCAGCUA
RNAcentral lists this ribosomal RNA (222 nucleotides) under uncultured bacterium. RNAcentral's name for it is "partial 16S ribosomal RNA". It matches the Rfam family "Bacterial small subunit ribosomal RNA", at positions 28 to 247 of the family's 1533-position model. The record is from RNAcentral.